AGUGAACGCUGGCGGUAGGCCUAACACAUGCAAGUCGAACGGCAGCACAGGAGAGCUUGCUCUCUGGGUGGCGAGUGGCGGACGGGUGAGGAAUACAUCGGAAUCUGCCCAGUCGUGGGGGAUAACGUAGGGAAACUUACGCUAAUACCGCAUACGACCUUCGGGUGAAAGAGGGGGAUCGCAAGACCUCUCGCGAUUGGAUGAGCCGAUGUCGGAUUAGCUAGUUGGCGGGGUAAUGGCCCACCAAGGCGACGAUCCGUAGCUGGUCUGAGAGGAUGAUCAGCCACACUGGAACUGAGACACGGUCCAGACUCCUACGGGAGGCAGCAGUGGGGAAUAUUGGACAGUGGGCGCAAGCCUGAUCCAGCCAUACCGCGUGGGUGAAGAAGGCCUUCGGGUUGUAAAGCCCUUUUGUUGGGAAAGAAAUCGUUCAGGCUAAUACCCUGGGAGGAUGACGGUACCCAAAGAAUAAGCACCGGCUAACUUCGUG
RNAcentral lists this ribosomal RNA (490 nucleotides) under uncultured bacterium. RNAcentral's name for it is "partial 16S ribosomal RNA". It matches the Rfam family "Bacterial small subunit ribosomal RNA", at positions 29 to 507 of the family's 1533-position model. The record is from RNAcentral.